GGGCCGGGUUCGGCCCUCGUGAACUCUCACCCGAGCGGUUUCUCUUUCCGGGACAACAUGGCGCCGUCCACGCCGCUCUUGACAGUCCGAGGAUCAGAAGGACUGUACAUGGUGAAUGGACCACCACAUUUUACAGAAAGCACAGUGUUUCCAAGGGAAUCUGGGAAGAAUUGCAAAGUCUGUACCUUUAGUAGGGAUGGGACCUUGUUUGCCUGGGGCAAUGGAGAAAAAGUAAAUAUUAUCAGUGUCACUAACAAGGGACUACUGCACUCCUUCGACCUCCCAAAGGCAGUUUGCCUUGAAUUCUCGCCCAAAAAUACUGUCCUGGCAACGUGGCAGCCUUAUACUACUUCUAAAGAUGGCACAGCUGGGAUACCCAACCUACAACUUUAUGAUGUGAAAACUGGGACAUGUUUGAAAUCUUUCAUCCAGAAAAAAACGCAAAAUUGACACAAUUGCAAAUAAAUUGCAUUUGCAAAAAAUUAAUGAUUUUGUAUUAUCACCUGGACCCCAACCAUACAAGGUGGCUGUCUAUGUUCCAGGAAGUAAAGGUGCACCUUCAUUUGUUAGAUUAUAUCAGUACCCCAACUUUGCUGGACCUCAUGCAGCUUUAGCUAAUAAAAGUUUCUUUAAGGCAGAUAAAGUUACAAUGCUGUGGAAUAAAAAAGCUACUGCUGUGUUGGUAAUAGCUAGCACAGAUGUUGACAAGACAGGAGCUUCCUACUAUGGAGAGCAAACUCUGCACUAUACUGCAACAAAUGGAGAAAGUGCUGUAGUGCAAUUACCAAAAAAUGGCCCCAUUUAUGAUGUAGUUUGGAAUUCUAGUUCUACUGAAUUUUGUGCUGUAUAUGGUUUUAUGCCUGCCAAAGCAACAAUUUUCAACUUGAAAUGUGAUCCUGUAUUUGACUUUGGAACUGGUCCUCGUAAUGCAGCCUACUAUAGCCCUCAUGGACAUAUAUUAGUAUUAGCUGGAUUUGGAAAUCUGAGAGGACAAAUGGAAGUGUGGGAUGUGAAAAACUACAAACUUAUUUCUAAACCAGUGGCUUCUGAUUCUACAUAUUUUGCUUGGUGCCCGGAUGGUGAGCAUAUUUUAACAGCUACAUGUGCUCCCAGGUUACGGGUUAAUAAUGGAUACAAAAUUUGGCAUUAUACUGGCUCUAUCUUGCACAAGUAUGAUGUGCCAUCAAAUGCAGAAUUAUGGCAGGUUUCUUGGCAGCCAUUUUUGGAUGGAAUAUUUCCAGCAAAAACAAUAACUUACCAAGCAGUUCCAAGUGAAGUACCCAAUGAGGAACCUAAAGUUGCAACAGCUUAUAGACCCCCAGCUUUAAGAAAUAAACCAAUCACCAAUUCCAAAUUGCAUGAAGAGGAACCACCUCAGAAUAUGAAAUCACAAUCAGGAAAUGAUAAGCCAUUAUCAAAAACAGCUCUUAAAAAUCAAAGGAAGCAUGAAGCUAAGAAAGCCGCAAAGCAGGAAGCAAGAAGUGACAAGAGUCCAGAUUUGGCACCUACUCCUGCCCCACAGAGCACACCACGAAACACUAUCUCUCAGUCAAUUUCUGGGGACCCUGAGAUAGACAAAAAAAUCAAGAACCUAAAGAAGAAACUAAAAGCAAUUGAACAACUGAAAGAACAAGCAGCAACUGGAAAACAGCUAGAAAAAAAUCAGUUGGAGAAAAUUCAGAAAGAAACAGCCCUUCUCCAGGAGCUGAAAGAUUUGGAAUUGGGUAUUUAAAGAUUCACAGAAAGCAAGUUGAUGACCAGAAAUCAGUGCAAACACAUCUUCUGUUAAACCCAUUGGUAUACACAGAAUAUUCCUGUUCCCACACUUAAUGUCAAUCUAUAAUUUUAACCAUUUAUCCAAGAUUCUACAUAAGUAAAAUUAUUUAAUAAUGUCUAUUGAAUUAAUAUUUAUAUCUUGCAUCCUAUAUCAUGUCAAUAUGUGAUAUAGAAAAGAGAUACAUGAAUUUUUUAGCUAAGCGUGACAGAUUGAAAGACAAGUGUCAUUUUUUUUUUGUGGAGAGUGAUAUAUACCAUAUAAAUGAAUAAAGACAUUUUAAAUUUAAAAAAAAA
Rhinopithecus roxellana (golden snub-nosed monkey) is the source of this 2070-nucleotide RNA transcript. It is a transcript of the gene named eukaryotic translation initiation factor 2A pseudogene, with no coding region annotated. The transcript has a single exon. The record is from RefSeq and is a predicted model, not a curated record. NCBI's taxonomy places the organism in Eukaryota, Metazoa, Chordata, Mammalia, Primates, Cercopithecidae.